CUUGGUCAUUUAGAGGAAGUAAAAGUCGUAACAAGGUCUCCGUAGGUGAACCUGCGGAGGGAUCAUUACCGAAUGGUCUUAAAACCUUUAAACUCGUGGAUUUAAAUCCGUGUUUUGGCGCUUAAAGCGCCAAUUUUAUGCUAAAAAUCAGUUUGCAAGUCCGAUUUUAUACGAAAUUGAAAACUUUCAACAAAGGAUCUCUUGGCUCUUGCAUCGAUGAAGAACGCAGCGAAGCGCGAAAUGUAUUGUGAAUCGCAGAACAUUGUGAAUCAUCGAAUCUUUGAACGCACAUUGCGCCUUCUGUUACAAGAAGGCAUGCCUGUCUGAGCGUCGUUUAAAUCAAAUAAGCUAUAAGGCUUGUUCUGGGCUUCGCCGGUUGGCGUCGCCUUAAAAUGAUCGGUCUUUUUAUGAGCGGACGAGUUCCAUUAGGACGGACCGUUUCUUUUGACCUUAAAUUACUGACUUUUGGCCUCAGAUCAGGUAGGACUACCGCCUGAACUUAAGCAUAUCAAUAAGCGGAGGA
This 523-nucleotide ribosomal RNA is filed under the name uncultured fungus. RNAcentral describes it as "eukaryotic LSU rRNA". The stretch from base 182 to 333 matches the Rfam family "5.8S ribosomal RNA". Lineage: Eukaryota; Fungi. The record is from RNAcentral.